RNAcentral lists this ribosomal RNA (279 nucleotides) under uncultured Rhodococcus sp. RNAcentral describes it as "partial 16S ribosomal RNA". It matches the Rfam family "Bacterial small subunit ribosomal RNA", at positions 1105 to 1382 of the family's 1533-position model. Lineage: Bacteria; Bacillati; Actinomycetota; Actinomycetes; Mycobacteriales; Nocardiaceae. The record is from RNAcentral.
UACUCUUAUGUUGCCAGCACGUUAUGGUGGGGACUCGUAAGAGACUGCCGGGGUCAACUCGGAGGAAGGUGGGGACGACGUCAAGUCAUCAUGCCCCUUAUGUCCAGGGCUUCACACAUGCUACAAUGGCCAGUACAGAGGGCUGCGAGACCGUGAGGUGGAGCGAAUCCCUUAAAGCUGGUCUCAGUUCGGAUCGGGGUCUGCAACUCGACCCCGUGAAGUCGGAGUCGCUAGUAAUCGCAGAUCAGCAACGCUGCGGUGAAUACGUUCCCGGGCCUU